Long non-coding RNA from Alligator sinensis (Chinese alligator), 351 nucleotides. RefSeq lists it as uncharacterized. The transcript is spliced from 3 exons. Lineage: Eukaryota; Metazoa; Chordata; Crocodylia; Alligatoridae. The record is from RefSeq and is a predicted model, not a curated record.
UAACAGCUGAUGAGCUGGCAUGUCUACAAAAUUACAGCAAACAUCAAAAGGGUUUUGUUACUUAUGCACGUACCAGGCUUCAAAAUGCUCCAGAAACCAGCUAGAUCAAUAGAGGGCACGUACAGACAUCAGACUUAGACCAGUCUAAGUGAAUAUAGAUCAAUCGAAAUCCAUAACUGUACAGAAGUUUGACGCACAUAGACCACAUGCGAGCUGUCAAAUGCAGACGUCUCUCCAUCCCCAGUUCCCACUCAACAUGCUUUUGAUGAUGACACACACUCUGCUGAGCCCAGUUGGGGACUGGAAGUUCCCAGCAUGAGACAAAUAAACAGCUCUUUUCCCCCUCUCCCC